AUUGAACGCUGGCGGCAGGCCUAACACAUGCAAGUCGAGCUAGCGGCGGACGGGUGAGUAAUGUCUGGGACACUGCCUGAUGGAGGGGGAUAACUACUUGAACCGGUAGCUAAUACCGCAUACCAUCAGAUGUGCCCAGAUGGGAUUAGCUAGUAGGUGGGGUAACGGAUCACCUAGGCGACUAUCCCUAGCUGGUCUGAGAGGAUGACCAGCCACACUGGACCUGAGACACGGUCCAGACUGCUACGGGAGGAAGCAGUGGGGAAUAUUGCACAAUGGGCGCAAGCCUGAUGCAGCCAUGCCGCGUGUGUGAAGAAGGCCUUCGGGUUGUAAAGCACUUUCAGCGGGGAGGCGUUACCAGCAGAAGAAGCACCGGCUAACUCCGUGCCAGCAGCCGCGGUAAUAC
RNAcentral lists this ribosomal RNA (406 nucleotides) under uncultured bacterium. Its description in RNAcentral is "partial 16S ribosomal RNA". It matches the Rfam family "Bacterial small subunit ribosomal RNA", at positions 30 to 526 of the family's 1533-position model. The record is from RNAcentral.